This 468-nucleotide ribosomal RNA is filed under the name uncultured bacterium. Its description in RNAcentral is "partial 16S ribosomal RNA". It matches the Rfam family "Bacterial small subunit ribosomal RNA", at positions 28 to 507 of the family's 1533-position model. The record is from RNAcentral.
GAUGAACGCUGGCGGCGUGCUUAACACAUGCAAGUCGAACGGAAAGGCCCUGCUUUUGUGGGGUGCUCGAUUGGCGCGCGGGUGAGUAACACGUGAGUAACCUGCACUUGUCUUUGGGAUAAAUUCAGGAAACUGGGGAUAAUAUCGGAUAGGAGCUCCUGAUGCAUGGUGGGGGUUGGAAAGUUUCGGCGGUUGGGGCUGGACUAGAGGCUUAUCCGCUUGUUGGUGGGGUAGUGGCUUACGAAGCCUUUGACGGGUAGCCGGCCUUAGAGGGUUACCGGCCACAUUGGGACUGAGAGACGGCGCAGACGCCUACGGGAGGCAGCAGUGGGGAGUAUUGCACAAUAGGCGGAAGCCUGAUGCAGCGACGCCGCGUGCGGGAUGACGGGCUUCUGGUUAAAAACCGCUUUCGCCUGAGACAAGGCGUGAGUGACGGUAAUGGGUAAAGAAGCACCGGCUAACUACGUG